GACGAACGCUGGCGGCGUGCUUAACACAUGCAAGUCGAACGGAAAGGCCCUGCUUUUGUGGGGUGCUCGAGUGGCGAACGGGUGAGUAACACGUGAGUAACCUGCCCUUGACUUUGGGAUAACUUCAGGAAACUGGGGCUAAUACCGGAUAGGAGCUCCUGCUGCAUGGUGGGGGUUGGAAAGUUUCGGCGGUUGGGGAUGGACUCGCGGCUUAUCAGCUUGUUGGUGGGGUAGUGGCUUACCAAGGCUUUGACGGGUAGCCGGCCUGAGAGGGUGAACGGCGACAUUGGGACUGAGAGACGGCCCAGUCUCCUACGGGAGGCAGCAGUGGGGAAUAUUGCACAAUGGGCGGAAGCCAGAUGCGGCAACGCCGCGUGCGGGAUGACGGCCUUCGGGUUGUAAACCGCUUUCGCCGGUGACGAAGCGUGAGUGACGGUAAUGGGUAAAGAAGCACCGGCUAACUACGUG
This 468-nucleotide ribosomal RNA is filed under the name uncultured bacterium. RNAcentral describes it as "partial 16S ribosomal RNA". It matches the Rfam family "Bacterial small subunit ribosomal RNA", at positions 28 to 507 of the family's 1533-position model. The record is from RNAcentral.